This 438-nucleotide ribosomal RNA is filed under the name uncultured bacterium. RNAcentral describes it as "bacterial SSU rRNA". It matches the Rfam family "Bacterial small subunit ribosomal RNA", at positions 958 to 1398 of the family's 1533-position model. The record is from RNAcentral.
AACGCGAAGAACCUUACCUGGGCUCGAAAUGUAGUGGAAUCGGGUGGAAACAGAGCCUUCCCGCAAGGGACCUGUGUAGAGGUGCUGCAUGGCUGUCGUCAGCUCGUGCCGUGAGGUGUUGGGUUAAGUCCCGCAACGAGCGCAACCCUUACUCCUAGUUGCUACCCGCAAGGGAGAACUCUAGGAGGACUGCUCCGGAUAACGGAGAGGAAGGUGGGGAUGAGGUCAAGUCAGCAUGGCCUUUAUGUCCAGGGCUACACACGUGUUACAAUGCGCGCCACAAAGCGUUGCAAACCCGCGAGGGGGAGCUAAUCGCAAAAAAGCGCGCUCAGUUCGGAUUGCAGUCUGCAACUCGACUGCAUGAAGCCGGAAUCGCUAGUAAUGGCGUAUCAGAACGACGCCGUGAAUACGUUCCCGGGCCUUGUACACACCGCUGUA